AAAGCAUAGUGAGGGUAUUUCUUAAGCAUCUCCUUAAAUCUCUUCCAACUUUAAUAAAUAGAUUCUUCAAAUUGGGCAAAAGAAGAGAUAUCAUUUCUAAAUUU
Small nucleolar RNA from Dendrobium catenatum, 104 nucleotides. Lineage: Eukaryota; Viridiplantae; Streptophyta; Magnoliopsida; Asparagales; Orchidaceae. The record is from RefSeq and is a predicted model, not a curated record.